AAAAAAUUGGGUGCAGGAGCCUGCAGACCUCCCGCGGUGCAGGACGACUCCGGAUGUGCGACGCGUGAACCGAAAAAACAUCCGCCGCCUGUGAUCGCCAGCUCGAUCACGCCCCGCGUGAUAACCCCGGUCGGCUCGCAAGCAGAUGCUCGCAAGCAGCGCUCGGCUCGGGACGGCAAUUUUUCUCCGCUCGGCUCCGCAGGGCACUCGCUCAGCUCAGUCGCGCCCCUCUCCUCCUCAUUCCCCUUCCCUCAUCUCUUGAGAAAUUUCUGACGCAAGCCUCUGCCGCCGCCACCGUCAUCACCAAAAUCUGGCCGUGAUGGGAGGCCCCCUCUCCUCCUCGUUCCCCUUCCCUCGCCUCUCGGGAAAUUUCUGACGCAAGCCCCCGCCGGCGUCGCCGUCAUCACCAGAAUCUGGCUGUGAUUGGAAGGCUCUGGCGUGUACGUCUACAACCUCUGCCGCCAGGGCCGCACCUCCGACGCCACCGGCAUACUCCUCGCCGCCGAGGGCUCCGGCUCCUCCGUCGACAUCGUCACAGGGUACUGAUGGUAUGACCACGUCAUCGUUGUGCGCUGGUUCAUCUAUGAUUCCUUGCUUGCAGUUGCAGGUUGUGAAUCAUGAAUCUGCAAAGAAACCAAUAAAUUUCAAGGUGAUGACAGUGAUGUAUUCCAUUUGCUAUUGUGGCUGAUGCAGUUGAGAAUGUAUACUGCCAAUUUGAGAAUUUCAGUUUCUUGCUACCUCUCCUUGCUGAAUGUUUGUGGUAAAGCGAAGUGCUAACUACUUUUUUUUUGACAGGUUGUUAAAUUAUCAAGGGCUAAGAGCAUCUUCUACCAUAACUAAAAUCUGCACUGAUCUGCAGUGAUGUCAAACAAUGUUCUAUUUGAUGUGUUAGUUUGCUCUCAAGGCUGGGUGCGGGAAGAUCAAGUUUGCUGAACACUAGCUGUGGGAAGAUCAAGUUUGCUAAAAUACAAGUCUCAUAUAAAUGAAGCACUGAUCUUUAACGAGGAGGCCGCUGGGCAUAUAUUCAGCAUUGCAAUGAGGACUCAACUCAAGAGGCAUGGAUGUAUAGUGUAGUUAUAAAUUUUUACAGUGCAUGGAUGUGCUAAAAAUAGAGAGAUUGUUGAUGCUAUUCUAUUCUGAUGUAUAGUGUAGUAAUCAAAUUGGUCGAUGUAUGGAUGUGUUGAAAAAAAUGAAAUUGUUCUGAAAUAAAUAUUGAUGUUCUGAAAACUGAGUUUGUCUCUCUCAUUUGGAGAUUCUGAAAUACAAGUGCGAACAUUUGCAAUGUACAUAUGGAAUGCAAGGAAAUAUUGUGUGGAUGUGUUUAAAAAAUAAGGUCGUCUUUCUCAUUAUACAGUGUAUCAUUUGCAAAAUUAAAAAUCGGG
RNAcentral lists this long non-coding RNA (1382 nucleotides) under Setaria italica (foxtail millet). RNAcentral describes it as "long non-coding RNA (SITA_LNC001562)". The record is from RNAcentral. Lineage: Eukaryota; Viridiplantae; Streptophyta; Magnoliopsida; Poales; Poaceae.